This 131-nucleotide non-coding RNA is filed under the name Otolemur garnettii (small-eared galago). RNAcentral describes it as "Eukaryotic large subunit ribosomal RNA". It matches the Rfam family "Eukaryotic large subunit ribosomal RNA", at positions 2193 to 2324 of the family's 3401-position model. The record is from Rfam by way of RNAcentral. Lineage: Eukaryota; Metazoa; Chordata; Mammalia; Primates; Galagidae.
GAUUCCUGCCCAGCAUUCAGAAUGUCGAAAGUGAAGAACUCGAUGAAGUGAGGUAAACAGCAGCAGUAACUAUCACUCUCUUAGGGCAGCCAAAUGCCUCCUCAUUUAAUUAGUGCUGUGCAGGAAUGGGU